UACGUAGGGGGCGAGCGUUGUCCGGAAUUAUUGGGCGUAAAGGGCGCGUAGGCGGCCGUUUAAGUCUGAUGUGAAAGUGCGGGGCUUAACCCCGUAAAGCAUUGGAAACUGGAUGGCUUGAGGACAGGAGAGGAAAGUGGAAUUCCACGUGUAGCGGUGAAAUGCGUAGAUAUGUGGAGGAACACCAGUGGCGAAGGCGACUUUCUGGACUGUAACUGACGCUGAGGCGCGAAAGCGUGGGGAUCAAACA
RNAcentral lists this ribosomal RNA (250 nucleotides) under uncultured bacterium. RNAcentral's name for it is "partial 16S ribosomal RNA". It matches the Rfam family "Bacterial small subunit ribosomal RNA", at positions 524 to 774 of the family's 1533-position model. The record is from RNAcentral.